AACUGUACUUCUCUGUGGAUCUUUCCAAAGUCCUUGCUUACUUGUAUUUAUCUAUGUACCAGCUCUACAAGGAAGGCAUAAUCCCAACUCUCCAGCAUUAGUUAGGAGGAGCAAUGGAUGAGGAAAUUGGAUAAAAUGAUCAUUUAGCUAAAGAAGAUGUCCGCUUAGAGUGAUUAACUGUUUAGAAUCGUUGCAUAAAUGACAAUCAUACUGACCUAAGUUCUCAACUUCCUUUCUUCAUUGUCAUUUUCAGUGUGCAUAGUAAGGUCGGGAUGAACAAUUUCUGAGCUUUGUUUGCAAGUUUAGGCUUCAGUAUCUGUACAUGAAGGUAGGAAAAAAUUCAAUUAAUCAGUCAUAUCUCCAUUUUUAGAAGGUAGAGUGAUGGAAAGUCUUCCCUUGUGUCUCAGCAAAGGUACUGGAAAGGCCAACUUGGCUUGUUGAUUUGGAGAAUAUCUGGUUAAUGGAUAGUUAUGUACUGUUGAAGGGGACACUCCUCUGGUACACUAUUGCAUGCCUGGAAUUCCAUGGUAUUCUUUGUGAUGUCACUAGUGUUAUGGAAACAGAAGCUGCCCUUGUGGUAUUUUGUUAAUGCUUAUUGUUUUAGACACAGACAUGUUUUCUAGGAUUAACGAGUUAUUUACAGGAAAAACAGAGUGCAUGGAGAGAUGAGAGGGAAAAAAAUGAUAUUAGGACUUCUUUCUUGUUAUAAAUAUGCAAAAUAAAUAAUCUGGUGUAAAGCAGAGAGAGUAAGCCCUGAGCCAGUACUGGGGAACUUCCUGGAGAAGCUGUGCUUGGGUCAGACCUUCUAGGAGCAGGACUUAUGGUCUGAAACAUCUGGACUUUUAAAGAAGGGACCAAGCGUCAAGAAUAUCUGAUGAAUAUUUGGCAGACAGCCAGAAAUUGACAAGCAUGCAGUUAGUUUGCUAUGAGUUCCUUAAUUUCACUCUGAAUGAGAAAGAUAUCCAAUAGGAGCCACACAGAUAAAUCUUCGACUCUCAGGGGUCUGCUGGGAAGGCAUCAUGCCAACCUUCCACCAUCAAUGAGCAAGUUCAGCAGAUUAAGAAGUAGGAGAAACUGACUAUUGAGCUCAAGAAGAAAACCUCUAUGGAGAUUUUCUUGUUGACUGGGCUCAUAGCUUCAGACCUGAAGUCAGGGAUAAUAUGGACAAUGGAGAUCCAUUUGAAAGAAGCUGCUUACCUUUGAGGAACAGGGAAACAGUGAGCAAGAGUAAGAUGUUUGUCCACCACCUGAUCCCUUGCUGAGAACAAAGUCUCCUCUUCACAGCCUGAAAACUGGGCAGGCUGGGUAAGCAGGCAUAGCUAACAAGCCAAUCCAAUUGUGUAAAUAUUUGUACAUAUACAGGGUAUAAAGGGAGAGCAUUUCAUUGACUAAGUUGAAUAUAAACACUGUCCACUAUUUUCUUAUCACAUGAAAGGAAACUUUGGUGGAUUUUGUCUAUCCUGGGUCCACAAAGAUCAAUUCUCACUAUCAUUGCCAUUUCUUCCCUGGUAGGACCCUUAAGAGAACUGAGAGAGUCAGAGAAAGACAGACAACAAUAAUCUACAUUGUAGAGAUCAAGGCUAUCUCAUAAGAAACACUUCUUCGUGGCUGUGAAUUCAGCAGAGGGAAAUUGCAACCAACGCUUGGUAAUGCAGCUGAUAUCUGGUAUACAGACUCAUUGACUAACUGUUCUAUUGGAGAAAGGAAGCAUCAAAAUUUAGCAUGAGACCAAAAAAAAAAAAUACUAAAAUGAGUCAGAACUCUGAUACAUGUAGUAAGUGUUCCCAGUGUGGGUCACAAAUAACAUGAAGGAUAUAUGUUUGAUCUAGAGUUACUCUGUUGGAGUCCUCACAUUUCAUAUGUACUUGAAAAUCUGUCACAGCAAACUAUAUUGAUAUCAUAUGCUAGUCCGAGAGACCAUACCCAAAAGUAUAUAAUUCCUUCUGAAAUACAGUGUUGAAAAUACUGCACAUCACACAUUUGUAUGUAAGGCUAAAAUUAAUGUUCUACCUAGAUAAAAGCAUUCUCUCAAUCCUUAUCUAAGUAACUUGUUUGUUUUUUUUUUCCGUUUGGAAAAUGGCUGAGUAUUCUUCAGUUCCAAACAUGAACUGAAGUGACUCUUCCUCAGACUGUACACAUAGUGGACAUCUGAGUAGUAAUUGACAUUUUUAGCCAGUUGGGUCUCCCCAAGGGUCUUUUAGGCAUGAAUAAGCAUGUAUAGCCAUAUUUUAGCCAAGGGAUUCAUGUAGUAGCCUAAAUAUUACAGGAUUCCUCUGCUGUAAAUAAUUUUCUUUUACACAGGUGAUGGAAGGUGUAUCAAAGGCUGAGUAUCAAACGUUGUAGAUAUUACACCAUCUGUAGAUGAUAAUAUACCAAGGAGAAUCCCUUAGGAUUACACUGAUUGAUCUAGAUACUCCCACAUGAUUCUAAUACAGAACAAGAAAUCACUUGGCUAGGAAACUUACAAUAAUAUAGUGCUGCGGAGCUAUGUGGAGUGUUAAUAGAUAAUGAGAAACCACCUAAAAAGCACAGGCAUAUGUACAAGAUGCUAUUCAAAAAUUAUCCAGAGGCAGUUUGGCAACCUACAUUCAGCACAAAAUGAUUGAUUCUUCACUUCAUAGAUUCUGAUCAGGUAAAUUGAAUAUUGAGAAAGCUAUAUGAGAACUCACUUGGUUAUCACAUGACUGUACAACUAGGUAGUCUCAACAGACAUGUCAAUCAGGAAGCAUAGCCUGAACUUGCCAACAAUGGAUGAAGUGCAUUUAGCUGAUGAGGUCUGACCAUGAAACUCAAAUUUCCAAAAUACCAGGUAGGUUUGAAUUUGCAGAACAAUAAAUACUUCAUGAGUUUUGGGGCAAAAUUCUAUUCUAAAGACUCCAAAAAUUAUUUAUCAACCAGCUCUUAAUCCCUAUGGAGAGAUUAAUUGUAGAAAUAAUGAAUUUAAUCUGUACCCCAGAGGUAUAAAUAAUUGGUGCAAUUUGAAGUGAUUUGAUAUGUUAAAGAAACAUGCAAAACAAAAGAGUUCAGGGUAUCCUUGAACAGAUUUGCUUCUAAAACAUGUAGCACGAGUUACUGUGGAAUGACCUAGACACAUACAUGCACAUAUCCUACAAUUAAUUGAUUUGUUCUGUUCUGUGUGUGGUAUGCCAGACUAAUCCAAGGUAGGAAGUAUAUAAUGCACAAGUAUUUUAAACCCAAUAUCAAUGAAAAGAAAUCAGAAUUCCUCUUGUGAAUGCCAUCCUAGAUGAGUUAAUCCAGAUCAAAAAGGAAAAUUGAGUUACAUAUUCACUUUAAUCUAAAUGUUAAUUCUCUAAACUGUGUAUCUGUAUGAUCACUUUUGUGUAAGUGUCUAGUAUGAACCAGACCGUCCUUAUUUUGAAAAGUGCAAGUGUACUUAUGUAUUGCUGAAAGACACAGUCAGGAACAGGAAUAUCAAAUGUGAAGAGACAGGGAAAAGAGCAACAAUGAAGGGAAUGUAGUACAUACAGUUAAAUUGAGAGACAUUUGAGGCAUUGAAUGGAAAACUAAUGGAGUAGAAAAUUUUUUUUUAAAUUUUUAUCAAGUAAUUAAACAUUUGCUAUAGUUAAAAGGGCAGAAGAUAAAAUAUUGAAUGGGUUUAUCUAUAUGAAAUUCGAUAAUAAUAAGUCACAACAAUUUUGGAUUUCAACUUUUAGUAAACCUAUGUUACAAAUACUGACUGUAUAGUCAUUAAGGAGAGAGAUGUUAACAUACAUAUCUUAUAUUGUUGGAAACAUACAUAUCUUAUAUUAUAAACACUGGAAGUGUAAAAUAAUAUAUGUAUUUGUUUACAUUUCAAAGUCAUUUCCCAAACUCUUCUUUCUGUCUUGAAUCCUCCAAGCCUUUCCGAUUCUCUUUGUUUCUAUGAUGGUGCUCCUCCAUCUACAUGGCCACUUCACUUUAGCCAUCUAACAUCCUCCUUCUCUGGGGUAUGACAUUUCCACAAAACCAAUUGCCUUCCUUUCCAGAGAUGGCAGAUGAGGCAGUUGUCUUCUCCCUGUGCUUUACUGUCUGCAUAGCAGUAUCCAUGUACUGGCCAAGUAUACUCUUGUUGGUA
This is a non-coding RNA of Rattus norvegicus (Norway rat), 4075 nucleotides long. NCBI's taxonomy places the organism in Eukaryota, Metazoa, Chordata, Mammalia, Rodentia, Muridae. The record is from RefSeq and is a predicted model, not a curated record.